AACAGACGGAAAUUCUGGCAUGUUCUCCCAUCCACACAUUUCCGUCCAAAAUAUCAAACCUCAAGGAAGCUAAUGGUGAAAGUAAAGUUAUAACUAAAAUUGAUAGUAAAAACGAACAUUGUUUGAUUACUCUAAAUUUAUGGAUUUUGACAGGAACAUGAAUUGUAUUCCACACCCACCGGAAUACUCGUUGUGAAAAAAAUUUUUGGUGGCAUCUAUCAGUUUUGCAGUGUUAAAAUUCUACAACACAAAUUGAAUGUUACACCACCAUCUGAUAACACUAUGCGAUUAAUUAAGAAGUUCUUUAUCUUCAUCUUCAUCUUCACUAUCCUCUGCAUGUUCUCCUUCUUUGUGGCCUUUUGCGUCUUCUUCACCUUCCAUCUCAUCAUCACUUCAGUGCCUCCUCCCCAUGACUCUCGCUUCAGUGCCUCCUCCCAUUCAUUUUGUUCACUUCCAAGAAACCUCCAAAGUUUUUUUUUUUUGGUUUGGGGCAGGGGUGAGGGAUGACUAUGGUAGAGAUUUUUUUCUCAAUAUUUACGGUUAAGAUGUUACCAUAGAGCAAUAAGAGGAUUUCGUAGGGAAAGAACAAUUUCCCAACCCUGGUCGUUGUAGGGCUGCCACUAUAGGAUUGCCACCAAUGCUAUGCUUUCAAUUUUGAAACCUGCAAAACACCCUAAUCCAGAUCGAAAGGGGUCGUUACCAUUGAGAAAUCCCAAUAACGAUUCCUUUGUCUUUGUCCACCAAUUGUGAUUCAAUCUCCACUAUCUUCACAACCUGAAACAUAAAUGUUGUUGCUGCUUCAACGUAGAAAUCCAUCAUCAUCU
This 824-nucleotide long non-coding RNA is filed under the name Vigna radiata. RNAcentral's name for it is "long non-coding RNA (VRAD_LNC006334)". The record is from RNAcentral. Lineage: Eukaryota; Viridiplantae; Streptophyta; Magnoliopsida; Fabales; Fabaceae.